GGCGGCGUGGAUUAGGCAUGCAAGUCGAGCGGAAAGGCUCCUUCGGGAGCACUCGAGCGGCGCAAGGGAGAGUAACGCGUGGAAAUUUGCCCUUAGGCCUGGGAUAGCGGUGGGAAACUGCCGGUAAUACCAGAUAAUAUCUUCGGAUCAAAGGUGUGAUUCCGUCUAAGGAGAAUUCCGCGUCCUAUUAGCUUGUUGGUGAGGUAACGGCUCACCAAGGCGAAGAUGGGUACCGGGUGUGAGAGCAUGACCCGGCUCACUGGGACUGAGACACUGCCCAGACACCUACGGGUGGCUGCAGUCGAGAAUCUUCGGCAAUGGGCGAAAGCCUGACCGAGCGACGCCGCGUGCGGGAUGAAUGCCUUCGGGUUGUAAACCGCUGUCAGAGGGGAGGAAGUGUAUGAGGGGAACGGAGCUUGACUCAUCCUCAGAGGAAGUCCGGGCUAAGUUCGUGCCAGCAGCCGCGGUAAGACGAACCGGACAAACGUUAUUCGGAAUUACUGGGCUUAAAGAGUGCGUAGGCGGCAAGGCAAGUUGGGUGUGAAAUCCCUCGGCUCAACCGAGGAACUGCGCCCAAUACUGCUAGGCUUGAGGGAGACAGAGGUGAGCGGAACUUGCAGUGGAGCGGUGAAAUGCGUUGAUAUCGCAAGGAACACCUGUGGCGAAAGCGGCUCACUGGGUCUCUUCUGACGCUGAGGCACGAAAGCUGGGGGAGCGAACGGGAUUAGAUACCCCGGUAGUCCUAGCUGUAAACGAUGAGCACUAGAUCGGAGGGUCCUCCAUAGCCUUCCGGUCGUAGCGAAAGUGUUAAGAGCGCCGCCUGGGGAGUACGGCCGCAAGGCUAAAACUCAAAGGAAUUGACGGGGGCUCACACAAGCGGUGGAGGAUGUGGCUUAAUUCGAGGCUACGCGAAGAACCUUAUCCUGGUCUUGACAUGGUUGAGAAUCCUGUCGAAAGGCAGGAGUGCCCUUCGGGGAGCUCUUUCACAGGUGCUGCAUGGCUGUCGUCAGCUCGUGUCGUGAGAUGUCGGGUUAAGUCCCUUAACGAGCGAAACCCUUAUCGUUAGUUGCCAGCGGGUCAUGCCGGGGACUCUAGCGAGACUGCCGGUGUUAAACCGGAGGAAGGUGGGGAUGACGUCAAGUCCUCAUGGCCUUUAUGCCCAGGGCCUCACACGUGCUACAAUGGCGAUCACAGAGCGACGCAAACGCGCGAGAGCAAGCAAACCCCAAAAAUCACGCCCCAGUUCGAAUUGCAGGCUG
This 1259-nucleotide ribosomal RNA is filed under the name uncultured prokaryote. Its description in RNAcentral is "partial 16S ribosomal RNA". It matches the Rfam family "Bacterial small subunit ribosomal RNA", at positions 38 to 1307 of the family's 1533-position model. The record is from RNAcentral.